AUUGAACGCUGGCGGCAUGCCUUACACAUGCAAGUCGAACGGUAACGCGGGGCAACCUGGCGACGAGUGGCGAAAGGGGGAGGAAUGCAUCGGAACGUGCCCCGUCGUGGGGGGUAGCCCGGCGAAAGCCUGAUUAAUACCGCAUACGACCUACGGGUGAAAGGGGGGGAUCGGAAGACCUCCCGCUAUUGGAACGGCCGAUGUCAGAUUAGGUAGUUGGUGGGGUAAAAGCCUACCAAGGCGACGAUCUGUAGCUGGUCUGAGAGGACGAUCAGCCACACUGGGACUGAGACACGGCCCAGACUCCUACGGGAGGCAGCAGUGGGGAAUUUUGGACAAUGGGGGAAACCCUGAUCCAGCCAUGCCGCGUGCGGGAAGAAGGCCUUCGGGUUGUAAACCGCUUUUGUCAGGGAAGAAACGCUCUGGGCUAAUACCUUGGAGUAAUGACGGUACCUGAAGAAUAAGCACCGGCUAACUACGUGCCAGCCGCCGCCGUAA
This 498-nucleotide ribosomal RNA is filed under the name uncultured bacterium. RNAcentral describes it as "partial 16S ribosomal RNA". It matches the Rfam family "Bacterial small subunit ribosomal RNA", at positions 29 to 523 of the family's 1533-position model. The record is from RNAcentral.